Molecule: ribosomal RNA, 442 nt
Filed under: uncultured bacterium
Lineage: Bacteria
Description: partial 16S ribosomal RNA
Rfam family: Bacterial small subunit ribosomal RNA
Source: RNAcentral
CCUACGGGUGGCAGCAGUGGGGGAUAUUGCACAAUGGGGGAAACCCUGAUGCAGCGACGCCGCGUGGGCGAAGAAGUAUUUCGGUAUGUAAAGCCCUAUCAGCAGGGAAGAAGAAAUGACGGUACCUGAGUAAGAAGCACCGGCUAAAUACGUGCCAGCAGCCGCGGUAAUACGGAUGGUGCAAGCGUUAUCCGGAUUUACUGGGUGUAAAGGGAGCGCAGGGGGCACGGCAAGCCUGAUGUGAAAGCCCGGGGCCUAACCGCGGAACUGCAUUUAGAACUGCCGGGCUGGAGUGCCGGAGAGGUAGGCGGAAUUCCUAGUGUAGCGGUGAAAUGCGUAGAUAUUAGGAGGAACACCAGUGGCGAAGGCAGCCUACUGGACGGUGACUGACGCUGAGGCUCGAAAGCGUGGGGAGCAAACAGGAUUAGAUACCCGUGUAGUC